AGCGGUAUAGUGUAAUAGGUAGCACGAAAGGCUCAUAACCUUUUAGUUCGGGUUCGAUUCCCGAUACCGCAA
This 72-nucleotide transfer RNA is filed under the name Acinetobacter phage vB_AbaM_Acibel004. It matches the Rfam family "tRNA". Rfam says of the family: Transfer RNA (tRNA) molecules are approximately 80 nucleotides in length. The record is from Rfam by way of RNAcentral. Lineage: Duplodnaviria; Heunggongvirae; Uroviricota; Caudoviricetes; Luriaviridae.